Molecule: long non-coding RNA, 1283 nt
Organism: Solanum pennellii
Lineage: Eukaryota; Viridiplantae; Streptophyta; Magnoliopsida; Solanales; Solanaceae
Exons: 2
Source: RefSeq, a predicted model, not a curated record
AAAAAAGAAGACAAUGCUGCCAAGUGCUUAAAAAGACAUGUCUUGGCCUAUUACAAGAAAAAACUUUUAAAAUAUAUACAGAGUUACAUACACCAAAAAAAUAUUGCUUCUAUAGAAAAAGAAUGAAACAAAGCACUGAAAACAUGAAGUAUUCCUUCUUGUUUGCACAUUUGUUACCAUUUUUACGCAAUCAAUAUUGUUAGUGAUUUAGAGAUCUAACUAUAUAUGGUUCCUUUCAUAAAACAAGAUGAGGCCGUGAUUGUAAUGGACUUAGUCUUUCCAUAGAUCUAACAGCCGAUUUAUUUUCAGUAGAGGUCCUACUACAGGGUUUCCAUAUGUAAUUCUCUGGAAAAAUCUUACUACAUCCAUAGUAUCCUUAUUUGUGACUAUAUAUCAAGUCCUUUUGUACACUUUUAUUUUUUCCCGCUUCACAAAUUCUAUUGAAAAAUUGUUGCAUAGAUUAUCUAUGGAAAGUUUAGAUUUCCCUUUCUUGUUGCUCCCAUAACCAUCACCGCUUUUUAGGCGAUUUCCACUCCAAAGUGUAUUCGCAUAAGAGACUUUAAUGGGAUCUUUAACUCCAUAGUUAGACCCCAUGUUGCUCAGACUUGGGUGCAGAUGUCUGAUAAAAAUGCAGAUCUAUAAGUCGGAUCCUCUAUGAUCCAAUAUUUUAGCAUUCGUGUAUAGAUCCUUGUAUGGAUACGACUGUGGGAAUUCGGCUAAAAGAAAUUCAAGUAUCCAUACAAAGAGUUCUGAAAAAAUUAUUAGAUAUUAUGCGAUAUGAAGUUGAACAAUUUGGGGAAGAGGACAGUGUUCUCAUAAAAAAAUAGAAUGAUUUAGACCCAAAAUUUCACUCUUGUCGUUUAUAUGAGCUUCACGGGAGCUUGCCGGAGUUCACCUUUUGAUGGUGGUGAAGUCCUCUUGCUCGUUGUUCUAUAAAAGAUUGCGGUUGAGUUAUCGUCGUUCAUUUUUAUUCGUGCGAGGAAUCUUGGGAUUUCGGAGAGUAGGGUGAGCUCGUGGCAUCUGGAGCUACCGGUUUUCAUCUGUUUUGUUUAGGCUUAGUCUUUAUAUAGAAUUACAAACAACAUGUACUUGUGUUGUAAUUGUGAUAAGCCAAAUCCAGUAAACUCCAGCGACCAGUGGCUCGAGAUAGCCAAAGAAGAGAACAAUACCUCUAAUGAAUUCAUAAAUGUACAAUGUUCGUUUAUCUAUCAAAAAGGUCUUCACAUCCAAAUGUAUGCAAAUGAUAUUUUAUUGCUGGAAAUUUGUACUGACCUGAUGGCGAA